Molecule: non-coding RNA, 30 nt
Filed under: Rattus norvegicus (Norway rat)
Lineage: Eukaryota; Metazoa; Chordata; Mammalia; Rodentia; Muridae
Source: RNAcentral
UAAUUGCCUCACGAUUAGUAAUUACCUUGU